CUUCUAUCUGUAGAAUACAUAAUAUAUAUAUAACACACCUUCCUGUACCGCUCUAUGACAUCUUUUGAAGGAUGUUUUUUCUAUUAAGAAGUAAAUGUAUUGUAAUAGGUAAAUUGUAUUUUGUGAGUAUACAAAUAAUGAAAGCAUAAUAUGAUUUCUUUAAUGGACAAAACCACAAUACAAGCACCCUAGUCAUUUACUCAUCCAUAUCACAAUACAAGCACCCUAGUCAUUUACUCAUCCAUAUCACAAUACAAGCACCCUAUCAUUUACUCAUCCAUAUUUUAUAAAAUGAAAAAAAAUAAAAAAAAUGAUUUUACUAACUACUAUAAUACUAGUAGAGUAUAGACAA
Ostrea edulis (European flat oyster) is the source of this 352-nucleotide long non-coding RNA. RefSeq lists it as uncharacterized. The record is from RefSeq and is a predicted model, not a curated record. Lineage: Eukaryota; Metazoa; Mollusca; Bivalvia; Ostreida; Ostreidae. The transcript is spliced from 2 exons.